GCUCUAGACUAGUGGAUCCCCCGGGCUGCAGCCCAAUGUGGAAUUCGCCCUUCGCCCGCCGCGCGCGGCGGGCGGGGCGGGGGCACGGGGGGCCUACGGGAGGCAGCAGUGGGAAUAUUGCACAAUGGGCGCAAGCCU
This 138-nucleotide ribosomal RNA is filed under the name uncultured Bifidobacterium sp. Its description in RNAcentral is "partial 16S ribosomal RNA". The record is from RNAcentral. Lineage: Bacteria; Bacillati; Actinomycetota; Actinomycetes; Bifidobacteriales; Bifidobacteriaceae.